Etheostoma cragini (Arkansas darter) is the source of this 302-nucleotide long non-coding RNA. RefSeq lists it as uncharacterized. Lineage: Eukaryota; Metazoa; Chordata; Actinopteri; Perciformes; Percidae. The transcript is spliced from 2 exons. The record is from RefSeq and is a predicted model, not a curated record.
CAGGGAGACCCGGGACAGUCAGGUGUAGAGUCUCAGGGAGACCAGGGACAGUCAAGUGUAGAGUCUCAGGUAAGUGUGUUGAGUUUAGUUCAUAUUUUUGGAGGUGUGUGGCUGUCAGGGAGAGCAGAUGAGCUUUACCAGCGGCUCAGUAAUUUACAUUAUGAUCAGCUAAUUUAACAAGUGUACAAAACCAUUGUAUUUCUUUUUAUAUGAGGAUACUUUAAAAAAAAAAAAGUCACUAUAUGUUUUAAGGUAUUUUUGUGGCUUGAUUGUAAAUAACUUAAAACUAAAGAAAUGGCUUU